Molecule: ribosomal RNA, 472 nt
Filed under: uncultured bacterium
Lineage: Bacteria
Description: bacterial SSU rRNA
Rfam family: Bacterial small subunit ribosomal RNA
Source: RNAcentral
UGGGGAAUUUUGGACAAUGGGGGCAACCCUGAUCCAGCCAUUCCGCGUGAGUGAAGAAGGCCUUCGGGUUGUAAAGCUCUUUCGGACGGAACGAAACGGUUAGCGUGAAUAGCGCUGACUAAUGACGGUACCGUAAGAAGAAGCACCGGCUAACUACGUGCCAGCAGCCGCGGUAAUACGUAGGGUGCGAGCGUUAAUCGGAAUUACUGGGCGUAAAGCGUGCGCAGGCGGCGGCACAAGUCAGGUGUGAAAUCCCAGGGCUUAACCUGGGAAUUGCGCUUGAAACUAGGUCGCUUGAGUGUGGCAGAGGGGGGUGGAAUUCCACGUGUAGCAGUGAAAUGCGUAGAGAUGUGGAGGAACACCGAUGGCGAAGGCAGCCCCCUGGGUCAACACUGACGCUCAUGCACGAAAGCGUGGGGAGCAAACAGGAUUAGAUACCCCGGUAGUCCCUGAGCGGGCUGGCAAGGCGCAU